Molecule: unclassified non-coding RNA, 254 nt
Filed under: uncultured Acidimicrobiia bacterium
Lineage: Bacteria; Bacillati; Actinomycetota; Acidimicrobiia
Description: contains 16S-23S intergenic spacer region
Rfam family: Bacterial small subunit ribosomal RNA
Source: RNAcentral
CACGUAGGGGGCAAGCGUUGUCCGGAAUUAUUGGGCGUAAAGAGCUCGUAGGCGGUUUGGUAAGUCGGAUGUGAAAACUCAGGGCUCAACCCGGAGACGCCAUCCGAUACUGCUAUGACUAGAGUCCGGUAGAGGAGCGUGGAAUUCCCGGUGUAGCGGUGAAAUGCGCAGAUAUCGGGAGGAACACCAGCGGCGAAGGCGGCGCUCUGGGCCGGAACUGACGCUGAGGAGCGAAAGCGUGGGGAGCAAACAGG